Caenorhabditis elegans is the source of this 225-nucleotide non-coding RNA. Lineage: Eukaryota; Metazoa; Nematoda; Chromadorea; Rhabditida; Rhabditidae. The record is from Ensembl.
CAUUGUAAUAGAAUUAAGAAAAUAAAACAGGAAAAAUCACGUCUUGAACGAACCCUUACGAUUUACGAUAAACAACACGCGAAUCGUAAACCGGAGUGUCGUUGCAAACUUUCAUGAAAAAUUUUGUUAUAAUUUUUAUAAUUUUAACAAAAAUGUCUGUAUCUUGUUAUAAAUUUAUACUUAUAAGAAUACGCUUGUUUAUUUAAUACUUUUUUUCACGAAAAU